Molecule: non-coding RNA, 68 nt
Filed under: Trichococcus sp.
Lineage: Bacteria; Bacillati; Bacillota; Bacilli; Lactobacillales; Carnobacteriaceae
Description: Fluoride sequence
Rfam family: Fluoride riboswitch aptamer (crcB RNA motif)
Source: RNAcentral
UAGUAUGUCGGCGAUGGUGUUCGCCUUUAACUAUCAUAAUAACUAUGAUUAAUGACACCUACUUAAAU